UACGAACCGUGCAAACGUUGUUCGGAUUCACUGGGCUUAAAGGGCGCGUAGGCGGCUUGCCAAGUCAGUGGUGAAAUCUUUCGGCUCAACCGGAAAAUGGCUGCUGAUACUGGCGGGCUGGAGGGAGGUAGAGGCAGGUGGAAUUCCCGGUGUAGCGGUGGAAUGCGUAGAGAUCGGGAAGAACAUCGGUGGCGAAGGCGGCCUGCUGGGCUCUUGCUGACACUGAGGAGCGAAAGCGUGGGGAGCAAACAGG
RNAcentral lists this ribosomal RNA (253 nucleotides) under uncultured bacterium. RNAcentral describes it as "partial 16S ribosomal RNA". It matches the Rfam family "Bacterial small subunit ribosomal RNA", at positions 524 to 776 of the family's 1533-position model. The record is from RNAcentral.